Molecule: ribosomal RNA, 468 nt
Filed under: uncultured bacterium
Lineage: Bacteria
Description: partial 16S ribosomal RNA
Rfam family: Bacterial small subunit ribosomal RNA
Source: RNAcentral
GACGAACGCUGGCGGCGUGCUUAACACAUGCAAGUCGAACGGAAAGGCCCUGCGUUUGUUGGUUGCUCGAUUGCCGAACGGGUGUGUGAAACGUGAGUAACCUGCCCCUAUCUUACGGGGAACAUCAGGGAACUGGGGCGAAUAUCGCAUAUGAUAUCCUGCAGCGCAUUGUUGGAUGGUGAAAUACGGCGGUUGUGGAUCGUCUAGCUGGUUAUGAGCUUGAUAGGCGGGUAGUGGCGUACCAAGGCUUUGAAGGGUAGCCGGCAUUAGAGGGUGACCGGCGACAUUGCGACUGCGAUACGGCCCAGACUGCUACGGGCGGCAGCAGUGGGGAAUAUUGCACAAUGGGCGGAAGCCUGAUGUAGCAACGCCGCGUGCGGGAUGACGGCCUUCGGGUUAUAAACCGCUUUCGCCUGUAACGAAGAGUGAGUGACGGUAAUGGGUAAAGAAGCAACGGCUAACUACGUG